AGCACCAUAUUUAAACUUGUGGGAGGAAAUAUUCCCCAUUCUUGGUUACGCUGUAGUGCAAAAUAAUUCUGGCUCUUUCUGUUGCACAGCUGACUUUGUCCCAUUCAGCUGUUGCUCUAUAGAGUUAAGGAACGUAA
Suricata suricatta (meerkat) is the source of this 137-nucleotide small nucleolar RNA. NCBI's taxonomy places the organism in Eukaryota, Metazoa, Chordata, Mammalia, Carnivora, Herpestidae. The record is from Ensembl.